Molecule: ribosomal RNA, 593 nt
Filed under: uncultured Acidobacteriota bacterium
Lineage: Bacteria; Pseudomonadati; Acidobacteriota
Description: bacterial SSU rRNA
Rfam family: Bacterial small subunit ribosomal RNA
Source: RNAcentral
CAGGUCACUCCUACGGGAGGCAGCAGUGGGGAAUAUUGGACAAUGGGGGCAACCCUGAUCCAGCAAUGCCGCGUGGGCGAUGAAGGCCUUCGGGUUGUAAAGCUCUGUCGGGCGGGACGAAAACUUUUGAGGUUAAUAGCCUCAGAAAUUGACGGUACCGGAAGAAUAAGCACCGGCUAACUCCGUGCCAGCAGCCGCGGUAAUACGGAGGGUGCGAGCGUUGUUCGGAAUUACUGGGCGUAAAGAGUGUGUAGGCGGUGCUCUAAGUUCGUUGUGAAAUCUCCCGGCUUAACUGGGAGGGUGCGGCGGAAACUGGAGUGCUUGAGCGCGGGAGAGGAAAGCGGAAUUCCUGGUGUAGCGGUGAAAUGCGUAGAUAUCAGGAGGAACACCUGUGGUGUAGACGGCUUUCUGGACCGUAGCUGACGCUGAGACACGAAAGCGUGGGUAGCAAACAGGAUUAGAUACCCUGGUAGUCCACGCCCUAAACGAUGCACAUUUGGUGUGGGUCAUUCAGUUGAUCCGUGCCGGAGCUAACGCGUUAAAUGUGCCGCCUGGGGAGUACAGUCGCAAGGCUGAAACUUAAAGGAAUUGAC